AGAUGUCAUGGUUUUGUAACUUCGCUAUUGGUAUUCCACAUCAUAACAUCAUGGACAAAAGAGAAGAACUACGUAUCCCAGAGGACCUCACGGUCAGAGAAGGAAGACACAUCACGGAAGAUACGUCAUCUGGUUGCGCGCGGUUCUUCUUCACUUUCGCUUGCUGCCAGGAGAGUGUGCUCCCAAGCCGGGAGUGCUUUCCCAAGCUUGGGUGUGCUUUCCAAGCCGGGCGCCUUCAUCAAGUUCCCAUUGCACUGAACUGAAUGGUGCUGUACAGUUUUUUCUCGUUAAUGCCAUCAUCAAUACUCAGAUCACUUUCUUAAGAAGAAUUAUUCACACUGCUGCCACCUAAAUUAAUGCAGCAUUUCCAGAAUACAUUUGACUGGUAUAUAUGUAAUCAGAAAUAAACAUUUUUGGACUUCUACCCUGGAUCUAUGAGAACCAGAGUAAUAUUAAAAAUGACAUGGUGAUUUAUUCAUGUUUCUUGAUUAACUUUUUACCAUCAAAUUUGUGACAGCUAAAAACUCUUUCAGUUUUGAUGAUGAUUAAUCCAUAUGAUGUGGCAGAUAUCCAAUAAGUAUGAUACUGUGAGUUUUUCUUGAUUUUCCUGUAUCUACAAAAUUGUGUUUAUUCACUUUUCCUGUAUUAUGUGUCAAUGUCUUCCAAAUUUUUAUUUUCUCUCAUGUCCUUAUUCUUUCCAGAAAUAAUUCUUGUGAAGCAGCAUCCUCAUAUAAUUCAUUGACAUUACAGUUCUUGAUAGAGUUGUGUUUCUUGUCACAUCUCUUAUUACUUAAAUCCUAUAUUAAUUUCUUUGUAAGACUCUGGACAGAAACAGAAGUGUGACAUUUGACAGCAAAGACCAUAGUCUUAUGUAAUAGUAGACAACAGUAGUAGUCUGUUCAGCACAAUCAUUAAUUGUUCAGGUAUUCAUUCUAUUCAAACAUAUGAUUUUUUUUUUUUUUUUGAAAAAAAAAGUGAUUGAUCAUAGCCAUUGAUAAAAACCUUAUACGGAUCCUUAUAUUAAAAAUUCCCCUGUGAGUUGGUCAGAUUUCUGCUCCAGAAGUCUGCAAGGGAAAAUGUAAGAUAUCUUGGACUCUUUUUUAUUAUUAUUAUUUAGCUAUAUUGUUAUGUACAUGCAUUACAUUACACACUUGUUUGGAAAUAUUUAGCUAGUAAACAAUGUCCAUACCAGAUUCUGGGUAUACUAAACAAUAAGAGUUGUUUAGUGUAAGAACUGGGGGCCCAAAGCCUGGACACAGAACUCUAGAUGGGACCCUCACUAAGGCAGAGUAGAGGGGUAUGGUUACCUCCCUUACCUUACUGGUCACUCCUCUUUUGACACAGUCCACAGUAUGGUUAGCCUUCUGGCCUACAAGCACACACUGUUGGCUCAUAUACAGAACCUCCAAGUAUUUCUCAGAGGACUGCUCACACCGAGUUCUCCCUAUCUAUUUAGAUGUCUGGGAUUGCCUUGACCCAGAUGUUGUACCUUGCAAUUGGCUUUGUUGAAGCUCAUUAGACUCACAUGGGCGUUCUCAAGCUUGUCCAGGUCUCUGUCUCCCUUUCUACACUUUUAUAAACAUAUAUUAUUAUGUUUCCCUUUUCCCAGUCACUGGGGAAUUUUGCUCUUCUCUUAUAGUGGGAGGGAUUUUGUUCCCCCAGCCCUCACCUAGAAUUUCAAGGUCUUGAGAGACUGCCGCAUUAAAGUGUUAAUGCCCACGUCAGCACUACAGGUCCACUUGUGCUUAUCUGGACUUCUAUAACCAACAAUCAACAGUAGAUUACAUGGCCACACAAAUGAGAACUCUUAUGAUUACAAUUACAGUUUCACUCAUAGUGCAGAGCACCUUCAUCUAACCGCAUUCUAACGGACUUGAACAAUAACUCUUAAGGAGCUUGGCUGUGCCUAAUGAGAACUUUUAUGACUAGCUUGUAGAAUAGUGCUCUUUAUUGGAGCAACAGAUUACAGAUUCUUAUGAAUUGCUGGUGAUAAAUACACAGUAUACAGAGCAUGUGCAAAUAUCAAUAAUGUGAAUAAUAAAGUCAACUGUAAACACAUUAAACUAUGGAAUGAUUUUACAGAGAUUUCUAAGUUUCACAGGAAAAGGACUCAAUGUAACUGAGUGUGUGAAUCUUACACAAUAGAUGUCCCUAUGUAGGGAAAAGAGAGGCUAAGCCCGUUGACUGGUCCCAGAAGUCAGUGGUGUUCUCCUGUCUCAACUGCAGUGGUAUCUUCCCCAGUAUUCCUUCUUUUUUUUUAAGCCAGUUUUAUACAAUUUUCUUACUUUCAGACAGAACUCGAGUGACUCUAAUCAUAACUAUAUUUGUUGUGACUGGUGCAAAUAAAAAUUGAAAAGCUGCUGAGUCAGGAUGACUACUAUGCAGUUUAUCAGUUCCACAAUACCACCAAGUUCCCACCCCUGUGAUCUUAUCAUGGAGCCUGACCGAGAAGUUUCACAGCUCGUUCCACCGCCUGUGCUGUAUCUCUUAGAGUCAGCAUACCAAGCUCCCCUGAUGCUUCUAACAAUCUAAAGUUUUCAGGUGUAGCAGACCAAAGAAAAAAGCCUCAUCUGUAAUAUGCCUAGAAUUGUCUCAAACACUUGCAAGAUAGGACAAUCACCAUGACAUCAAACUGAAGGCCAAAGAGUUGGUUUGGAAGGGGGAGUUCUGUGCAAACAGGAUGAGCUUGUUCCCUCCAAAACUUCCCUGUUUUGCUGCAGAAAUUUUGUCUGCAAAACUGCAACCUGAUUUUGCCAAACUGUUUUUUGCAAACUUGUUUGUUGCAAACUUACAGAUGAGCUUGAGAGAGUGAACCCUGUAAAUUUAGAAGGCAUUGAAGGAGGCCUGAGAGAACCUCUAGGGGGCUUUGAGAUUUCGAUACUUUGAAAAUUCUGGAUGAGUUCUCCCACAAACCAAGGACCACCCCUUUGGCUGGACCAGCACUGGAACCUGGACUGGUGAUCUCUUUCUUUGCCUGUUUUGCUCUCUCUCCCCUCAUCUCUCUCUCUCUCUCUUUUCUUUCUUUUUCUCUCAUAAAGUGAUUAAUGCGAGGCUUAUUUGAUUUCUUAUAAAGUCACAUAGUUUACCCUUGCAGUUUAGAGAGAUAUAAUUGUAAGAGUGCUAAUACUUUUAAGAUAAUUGUAAUACAGAGAUUCUCAUUAAAAAAGUUGAUUGUGUCUGGACCUUGAGUAUUGUUUUACCUUGAUCUAACUGGGGGGAUUUGUGAAUCUUAUCACCAGUCCCUCCCUUCACGGACAGGAAGUGACAGCAGUGCUAUGUUGCUUAGGAAAAUAUCAUGGAACAGACGCCUUUCAUUUUCACUGUAUUCCCCACAGGUGGUUUCUUCUAUGCUUUUGUUCCUUUAAGUGUGGUAUCUCUCAAUCUGAGGUUUUCUUCUGCUGCUUCCUAAAGUAACAGUAGCUCCUGGCUCUUUUCUGUCAUGCAGAAGUGUAUCUCCUUUACCAGUUUAUUUGCUAGCUGCUAAUAAAUCCAACUAGUGAAGAUCAGGUUUGUGGCCACCUGAGGAACUUGAUCACCUACAAGUCUAUGGGUCCCAAUGAGAUGCAUCCCAGAGUCCUGAGAGAAUUUGCUGAUGUAGUUGCCAAGCCACUCUUUGUGAUAUUUGAACAGUUGUGGCAAUCAGGAGAAGACCCUGGUAACUGGAAGAAAAGGCAGCAUCAUACCCAUUUUUAAUAAGGGUAAAAGGGAUGAUCCUGAGAACUACUGUCCUAUCAGUCUCACCUCUGUACCAGGAAAGAGAGCAGAUCCUCCUGGAAGCUAUACUAAGAUACAUGGAAGGCAAGGAGGUGAAGUAGGAGAACCAGCAUGGCUUCACCAGUGCCAAAUCCUGUUUGACUAACAUGGUGGCCUUUUAUGAUGGUGUCACUGCAUCUGUGUAUAAGGGAAGAGACACUGAUGUCAUCUAUCUGGUCUUCAGUAAGGCCUUUUACAUGAUACCCCCAUUACAUUCUUCUCUCCAAAUUGGAAAUAUAUGGAUUUGAUGGGUGGACUGUUCAAUGGAUGAAGAACUGGCUGCAGGAUUGAGUCCAGAGAGUUGAACUGACUAGGAAAUUAUUCCAACAACAAAGAAAUGGCAUAUUGACUUUUUUGAUGAAGAAUGCUCAUUACACUAACAGUAAGAAAAAGUCACUUUUGUACUGACACAUGAGUAUUGUUUCUUUGUGACAUGUAUUCUGAUACUUUCUUACUUAUUUGUGUGUGUCUUACUUUGGUAUCACUAAAACAAAGGAAAAUAAACAUCACUAGCUGUGUAAAGGAGGGUCAGCUGCGAUUUAGAUCGAAAGGAAGAAAAAUGUUCAGUGUAAAACUUCACUUACGUGCCCCAAACAUACCUAUGUUCAUGGUGAUUAUCUACUAGGAAAAACCACAGUGUGAUUGCCAAAUUUACUCCUCAAGACAGAGGGAAAAGGAACAAAAGAGUCAUGUUACUGUGUUUUCCCACCAGACUUUUCUGUCAUUUGAAAAUAUGAAAAAGCUUAUACUGCUUUUUUUGGGCAGUCUAAGUACUAUUCUCAGCUCAUUAUAGUGCUUAUCCUCCUUAUCUUUUGCAGCAGUCAGAGUUGUCAAAAUGUGCAGGCAUUUUUUCCUCAGCAAAUACGUGUAGCUCCCUGGCAGAACUCUCGGGUAUCUGAGCUGGCAGCUUUGGUGCUGUCACUUGAACUGUUACGUACAUGUACUGCUGAUUAGUUCUUCUUGCUGUUGUAUUCACCCACAUCAUUGUUGCUUGUCUUGUAGAUGUUAUUUUUCUUUCAUUAUAACUUGUGCUCUUUCACUUUUUUUCACUGAGACUUCCUUGAAACUGAGAGUUAUUUUUUGUCUCAUCUUUUUAAUCACAUCAUACAAGCAAAAUAUGCAUAAAGGGGUCAUUUUCUCAUUUAGUUUUCUUUGAGAAUUAGAACUGUGAUAUUCCACUGAACAUACGUAUAUAAUGAAAGUUUAUGAGCAUGACUGAAUCACGUAAGUGAAACUGUACAUAUCUGUGUUGUACAGACAUGACAGAAAAAUAAGAAACCUAAGGGAAAUAUGGCAGUCAUAACUGUUUUCUUACCAUCACUUAGGUUGUUCUGUCAUCUUCAUAAUUUCAUCUAGCCAGUUUCAUAUAUGCCAUGAUAUCCUAACAUAAUUUUGGUAAUGUUAUUCCUGAUAUAAAAUGGAAAGUCUACUUUGUGCAAAGGAGAAAUCAUAAAAGGGAUUUAGAAAUUAAUAAGCCAAAAAAUGGUGGAGGAGAUCGAGCAGGCUAAAAGGCAAGAUGAGCUCCAAAGUUAAUACUAUGAGAAAGAGAAUAAUUCAACUCUUUUAUUUGUUGAUGACAUAGUAGGUAUUAGAAGGCAAGUCAUUUUGCACAUGUACAGCAAGUUUCAUAACAGUAACAAAAACAAACCAAAAACCACAGUGUUAUCUUAGAGAAGGUACGAAUAAAUAGAAUUACAAGUAUACUUCUGAGGGUGAAGGAAAUCUCUUGAUAUUGAGAGAAUUAACAUAGUUUGAUCAGGUUUUUUUUUGUUUGUUUUUUGUUUUUUUUUUAAUGGUAAAUUUAUAAAUAUCAUUAUAGCAUUCAACAUUAAAAAAAAUCUAAAAAAUCCAGC
Molecule: long non-coding RNA, 5606 nt
Organism: Gallus gallus (chicken)
Lineage: Eukaryota; Metazoa; Chordata; Aves; Galliformes; Phasianidae
Source: Ensembl